Choloepus didactylus (southern two-toed sloth) is the source of this 973-nucleotide long non-coding RNA. RefSeq lists it as uncharacterized. The transcript is spliced from 3 exons. The record is from RefSeq and is a predicted model, not a curated record. Lineage: Eukaryota; Metazoa; Chordata; Mammalia; Pilosa; Megalonychidae.
AUUCUGGAAACUAAAGAGAUAGACAAGCUGAAGAGCCCUGCCUGCCUGGGUCUCUCCUCCCUGCCUGGUAUCUGCCUCACCUCCUUCCGGACAUAGGGAAGAUAGAGAGAGCGUGCUGGGGGCAGUUCAGAGCCUGCUGCUGGGGGUCAAUGCAGAGCGGGGAGCGGCUGGCCCUGGUGGUAAGGAUGCCGUUCUGGAUGGAGAGCUCAUCAGGAGGCAGUCCCUGGGAGCCCCACCUGGAAGGCACCGUGACAGGAGCAUUGCUUUUCCUUGCCAAGUAGUGAAGCAAAGGCUAAGAGUGGAAGUGGUACCUUCCAGAACAAUCUACCUAUCCCCAGGCUGCUCAACCCUCCUCAAACUCUGAGCAAAAGAGCUUGGGACUGGAUGUGCAGCUGCAUCUGCCAUUUCUGUGCACUCAGAUCAGAUGCGUCCUGGCGGCUCAUUCCCUUGUUAGGCCCCAGGCCAUCACCCUCCCACCAGGGUGAAUCUGCAGAGACCCCAGCCUAUGGUCCCCCACGUCCUCCAGGCUCAGGCUUUCCACACCUGCUAAUCUCAACAUCAUCCGUGAGCAGGUUUUCUAAUCUAAAAGGCUGGCUCAGGGGAAUCUCCCUCUCCAGGAGAUCGUUCUGCCAGACUUGAUUAACCAUCUCGUCUCGGAACUCCCAUGUAAAGGCCCCUUCGUAGCUCAGGAAGGCCGCACAAAGCAGGCAGUCUCCUAGUAACUUCACUCGACGGUGCAUCAGUUCAUCCAAGUCAUUCAGCCACCUGGCGGAGGAGAGAGGGGCUGCGGUAGUGAUCAUCUCCUGGCCACAAGCAAAAGGAGCCUUCUAGAAGAUCCAGUUGGAUCUCUGCCCCAACUCUAGCCAGAGGAAACCUUUCCUGAGAUAGUAUUUCAUUGCCAGGAUGGAGCUCGCCAUUUCACUUUGCUGUCUCCCACCCUAGCGAACCCAGGGUUUUGAAGGAUUUUGUCCCA